GGGAACACCGGCGGCCCGAGUGGUGAUCGUGAUUAUGGGUCUAAAGGGUCCGUAGCCGGUUUGGUCAGUCCUCCGGGAAAUCUGAUAGCUCAACUAUUAGGCUUUCGGGGGAUACUGCCAGACUUGGAACCGGGAGAGGUAAGAGGUACUACAGGGGUAGGAGUGAAAUCUUGUAAUCCCUGUGGGACCACCUGUGGCGAAGGCGUCUUACCAGAACGGGUUCGACGGUGAGGGACGAAAGCUGGGGGCACGAACCGGAUUAGAUACCCGGGUAGUCCCAGCCGUAAACGAUGCUCGCUAGGUGUCAGGCAUGGCGCGACCGUGUCUGGUGCCGCAGGGAAGCCGUGAAGCGAGCCACCUGGGAAGUACGGCCGCAAGGCUGAAACUUAAAGGAAUUGGCGGGGGAGCACAACAACGGGUGGAAGCCUGCGGUUUAAUUGGACUCAACGCCGGACAACUCACCGGGGGCGACAGCAAUAUGUAGGCCAAGCUGAAGACUUUGCCUGAAUCGCUGAGGGGAGGUGCAUGG
This 529-nucleotide ribosomal RNA is filed under the name uncultured archaeon. RNAcentral's name for it is "bacterial SSU rRNA". It matches the Rfam family "Archaeal small subunit ribosomal RNA", at positions 469 to 997 of the family's 1478-position model. The record is from RNAcentral.